CAGGGAGUAGUUUAAAUUAGAAUGUCAGCUUUGGGAGUUGAAGGUGAAGUUGUAACUUCUUCCCUGA
This 67-nucleotide transfer RNA is filed under the name Sciurus anomalus (Caucasian squirrel). RNAcentral describes it as "tRNA-Pro". It matches the Rfam family "tRNA". From Rfam's summary of the family: Transfer RNA (tRNA) molecules are approximately 80 nucleotides in length. Their secondary structure includes four short double-helical elements and three loops (D, anti-codon, and T loops). Further hydrogen bonds mediate the characteristic L-shaped molecular structure. tRNAs have two regions of fundamental functional importance: the anti-codon, which is responsible for specific mRNA codon recognition, and the 3' end, to which the tRNAs corresponding amino acid is attached (by aminoacyl-tRNA synthetases). tRNAs cope with the degeneracy of the genetic code in two manners: having more than one tRNA (with a specific anti-codon) for a particular amino acid; and 'wobble' base-pairing, i.e. permitting non-standard base-pairing at the 3rd anti-codon position. Lineage: Eukaryota; Metazoa; Chordata; Mammalia; Rodentia; Sciuridae. The record is from RNAcentral.